AACGAACGCUGGCGGCAGGCUUAACACAUGCAAGUCGAGCGCAUCCUUCGGGGUGAGCGGCAGACGGGUGAGUAACGCGUGGGAAUCUACCUUUUGCUACGGAAUAGCUCCGGGAAACUGGACUUAAUACCGUAUGUGCCCUUAGGGGGAAAGAUUUAUCGGCAAGAGAUGAGCCCGCGUUGGAUUAGCCAGUUGGUGGGGUAAAGGCCUACCAAGGCGACGAUCCAUAGCUGGUCUGAGAGGAUGAUCAGCCACAUUGGGACUGAGACACGGCCCAAACUCCUACGGGAGGCAGCAGUGGGGAAUAUUGGACGAUGAGCGCAAGCCUGAUCCAGCCAUGCCGCGUGAGUGAUGAAGGCCUUAGGGUUGUAAAGCUCUUUCACCGGAGAAGAUAAUGACGGUAUCCGGAGAAGAAGCCCCGGCUAACUUCGUG
RNAcentral lists this ribosomal RNA (433 nucleotides) under uncultured bacterium. RNAcentral's name for it is "partial 16S ribosomal RNA". It matches the Rfam family "Bacterial small subunit ribosomal RNA", at positions 29 to 507 of the family's 1533-position model. The record is from RNAcentral.